Molecule: long non-coding RNA, 868 nt
Organism: Ostrea edulis (European flat oyster)
Lineage: Eukaryota; Metazoa; Mollusca; Bivalvia; Ostreida; Ostreidae
Exons: 5
Source: RefSeq, a predicted model, not a curated record
AAGAUCCUUAAAACCGUCGAGAAGGUUGAAAUCAUCAAAGAAAAACACGCAGGCGUCAAUAUGUUUCUGCCACCUUGGGCAACAGACACCUAUCUCCUAUCACUUCACAAACAGGAGACAAAGAUGUGAACUAAUCUCCUUAUCUAAUUAUCUACAAUUUGAGAAAUAAACAUUGAUAUCAUUAAAUUUUCUUUUUAUUCCUGAAGGCUGACGAAUGUGGACAACUGCUUAAUAUACUACAAUGAACAAACUUUUGUUCAAUAUGUGAAAAACAGCAUUUGUACUGUUAUUUAGGAACAUCUUGGUAAAGAGGCUGGUGAAAACCGCCUUGAUACCGAAAAGGAUAACACACAGCGCCAUAUAGCUUCACAGACAAGGAUGACGAACAAAUUCACGUAGCUGCAGAUACUGGUAAACAUAUUGAGGAUGAUGAACGGAUAAUUAUAGCAAACAAGACAAGUAAACAAAUCGAGGAUGAUGAACGAAUUAAUGCAUCUACAGGAACUUGCGCACAGUUGGAGUUGGCCAUGGACGAAGGGGCUAUGAACUUUCACUUGCAGGAAAACAGACACGAGGAUGACAAUGAAGAGCCUUUUAAAAUUCCUGAUUCAGGACAGAGAAGGGUACACUACCGAAGAACUGGAAGACGUCACAGAACCGUCCUUGCCAGGUAGUUCUGUCAACAAUGCAAAACUGGUGCCUAAACCAAAGAAGCGCGGACUUGGAAGAAGACUGUUGACGUUUCUGGGAUGAAAUAAAACACUUGUGAAUGAACAUGAAUAUAAUGAAAUCCUUUUUAAGUUUUCUGUGUUAUAUCUAAACGCUUUGGAAAUAAUGUUCUUAAUUAGAUUAAAUAUUUUUAACUUUA